This 460-nucleotide ribosomal RNA is filed under the name uncultured bacterium. RNAcentral describes it as "partial 16S ribosomal RNA". It matches the Rfam family "Bacterial small subunit ribosomal RNA", at positions 338 to 795 of the family's 1533-position model. The record is from RNAcentral.
CCUACGGGAGGCAGCAGUGAGGAAUAUUGGUCAAUGGGCGCGAGCCUGAACCAGCCAAGUAGCGUGAAUGAUGACUGCCCUACGGGUUGUAAACUUCUUUUAUAGAGGAAUAAAGUGAGGCACGUGUGCCUUUUUGUAUUUAUUUUAUGAAUAAGGAUCGGCUAACUCCGUGCCAGCAGCCGCGGUAAUACGGAGGAUCCGAGCGUUAUCCGGAUUUAUUGGGUGUAAAGGGAGCGUAGAUGGGUUGUUAAGUCAGUUGUGAAAGUUUGCGGCUCAACCGUAAAAUUGCAAUUGAUACUGGCAGCCUUGAGUACAGUUGAGGUAGGCGGAAUUCGUGGUGUAGCGGUGAAAUGCUUAGAUAUGACGAAGAACUCCGAUUGCGAAGGCAGCCUACUAAACUAACACUGACAUUGAUGCUCGAAAGUGUGGGUAUCAAACAGGAUUAGAUACCCCAGUAGUC